This is a transfer RNA of 76 nucleotides. It matches the Rfam family "tRNA". Rfam says of the family: Transfer RNA (tRNA) molecules are approximately 80 nucleotides in length. Their secondary structure includes four short double-helical elements and three loops (D, anti-codon, and T loops).
GCCCUCGUAGCUCAGUGGAAAGAGCGGGGAGUUUCUACGUCUCGUGGCGUAGGUUCAAGUCCUGCCGAGGGCAUCA